GCCCGAUUAGCUCAGCUGGUUAGAGCGUCGUACUAAUAUCUUCCCUCUUCGGAAAUAUCAAGUUCCAUGCGAAGGUCAACAGUUCAAUCCUGUUAUUGGGCA
Molecule: non-coding RNA, 102 nt
Organism: Copromyces sp. CBS 386.78
Lineage: Eukaryota; Fungi; Ascomycota; Sordariomycetes; Sordariales; Sordariaceae
Source: the annotation of a GenBank genome assembly